Molecule: unclassified non-coding RNA, 90 nt
Filed under: Pseudomonas sp. NFACC39-1
Lineage: Bacteria; Pseudomonadati; Pseudomonadota; Gammaproteobacteria; Pseudomonadales; Pseudomonadaceae
Also listed under: 1 other name
Source: RNAcentral
UGUGGGAGCGAGCCUGCUCGCGAUAGCGCUAUGACAGUCGACAGCUCUGUUGAAUGUUGCGCCGUCAUCGCGAGCAGGCUCGCUCCCACA